GGUAAAGCAGUUGGCACGUCUAGCGAUUUGGUGGUACAGGUUGUUCUUAUAGCAGAGAGCAUGAGAUUACAGGCAAUGAUGGCCACUUACGGUAUUCAGACGCAGACGCCUCACGAAGUAGAACCCGUUCAGAUCUGGCCUCCCAGUCAAUUAGUCAAAGUUUAUGAAUUUCUUGGGGUGACGAGGAAGCUCGGUUUAAAGGGAAGACCACCACGUCCGAUUGGCGCACUAGGCACAAGCAAGCUUUAUAGAAUAUGUGGUCAAACAGUUAUUUGUUAUCCAUUAAUAUUUGAAGUUAGUGAUUUUUAUCUGUCUCACGAUAUGGCUCUUCUGAUUGAUGACAUUAAAAAUGAACUGCAUUUCGUGGGCAAGUAUUGGAGAAUGUCUGGUAGACCAACAGUCUGCAUUCUGAUCAGAGAAGAACACAUGAGAGAUACACACUUUAAAGAAAUGCUGGAUCUAUUAGCAAUGUUCAAGAAGGGUCACUGUGACGGAUUAAAGAUUCGUACCGGUAGACUUCAAAAUCUUAUAUCGUCAUCUUGUAUAGAACAUCUCGACUUCCUUCAUUUGCUACCACCUGAUAUUAUUCCAAAAUUUGAAGCAUUUCAGCAGUUAGAGCAUACUUCAAUUGGAUAUCAAAGUUUAACCGAUAUUCCUAAAGCAAUAAUUUAUAGCGAACCUACUUACAAUUUUGAGGAGUUCACACACAAAUCUACUAAAGAUAUUCUGGAUGCCAUUUCUCAAACCGAUACCCUUCACGGACAGAGUCAGCUAUUAGGCAUUCUUUGGUAUCGUGAAGGACCGCAGUUUUGGGUGGAUGGAAUAACAGUGAAGGAAAGACUUGAAAAACUGACGAGGCAGGCUGGAGCUCUCAGGCAUUGGUCUGUAGUACGUUACUGUUCUAGCGUUCUGGAGAAAAUGGUCGAUAGCAUCAGUCCUUACAUUACAUCAACCCUAGUCAGCGGCAAACAGAUUACAGUCGGUAUUUUCGGUCACGAAGAAGUGGUCAUCGAUCAUCCUCUAACUCCCAAAGAAGUAAAAGGCAUUAUAUACGGUCAGUGUCAGCAUCAUGAUAUUUAUCAAGCAGUUCUUCAACAAGAAAUUAUUCUCUAUAUCGGAAGACUCAUUUCUACGUCACCGCAUCUGUUUCAUGGCAUUUUGAAACUCAGAGUGGGCUGGAUUAUUCAAGCCAUGAUUCUUUAUUUGAAAUUCCUGAAUGAGAAUCCUCCAGCGUUACACAGUCUUUCUCCUAGCGAUUUACGAAAAGUCCUUUUUAAAGUGCUUGAAACGUCAGAUAAUGUUGCAUCUAAUAAUAACAGUAAAGGAAAGACUUGAAAAACUAACGAGGCAGGCUGGAGCUCUCAGGCAUUGGUCUGUAGUACGUUACUGUUCUAGCGUUCUGGAGAAAAUGGUCGAUAGCAUCAGUCCUUACAUUACGUCAACCCUAGUCAGCGGCAAACAGAUUACAGUUGGUAUUUUCGGUCACGAAGAAGUGGUCAUCGAUCAUCCUCU
Molecule: unclassified non-coding RNA, 1512 nt
Filed under: Centruroides sculpturatus (bark scorpion)
Lineage: Eukaryota; Metazoa; Arthropoda; Arachnida; Scorpiones; Buthidae
Description: probable phosphorylase b kinase regulatory subunit beta, transcript variant X2
Source: RNAcentral